Molecule: long non-coding RNA, 3829 nt
Organism: Gorilla gorilla gorilla (western lowland gorilla)
Lineage: Eukaryota; Metazoa; Chordata; Mammalia; Primates; Hominidae
Exons: 4
Source: RefSeq, a predicted model, not a curated record
GGUGCUUAGGGAUUACGUGGUUUGUGCUGACUGCAUGUAUGUGAGUAGCUGGGGCCUUUCUCUUUUAGCACCAACUAGAAAUCUGCCACAUCCAGACUUCUAGUCUGAUAUCAGAUGUAAAAAGAUGCUGAAUAAUGUAAUGACUAGUGAGGUUUUCCAUUGCGGUGGUCCCCGCUUAUUCACAGGGAAUACAUUCCAAGACUCCCAAUGGAUGCAUGUAACUGAAGAUUCUCUGCGAAAGACUACGUAGACAUCAUAUCAACUGUGAAUAAUGACUAUUUUGUUUUAUCAUAUCCCAUCUAUACUCUUCAACUUCCUUCUAUUGUAUUGGUUAAAACCUCCAGUACAAGAUUAAAUACAAAAGUUGAUGGUAAUCUGCAUCUCAUUAAUUGGACCAUAAGACCAAGCAGCCAGACCUCAGUUUUAUCCGGGUACAAAAUCUGGCAGCUCCACUGGGACAGAGCUGCCCUCAGCAGCUAGAGGCUUGUGACCUGACAGUCUUUAGGAGACUCCCAGCAGCUGCUAGGUACAGUUUGUCCUGAGGACACUUCUGAGAACUUUCCCUGGGCAAAAGGACCACCCAUCCCCUUGCUACUGGGGUAGAACAGGGGCUAGGACACUGAAGGGGAGCAUUGUGAACUCUGAAGAGCUGUGCCACACAUUCCAGCCCGGUGAUCAAGUGCUAUUAAAAGAAUGGAAAGAAACAGACCCUGCUUCCCAGCUGCAGGAGAAAUACAAAGGGCCCUAUGAUGUGCUGCUAAGCACCAGUUCAGCACUGAAACUGGUGGACAUCAAGCCAUGGAUCCACUACACAUGAUUGAAAAAGUUCCUGCAAGAAGAAACAUCCACGACAGAGGACACCAAGGCCACCAAAUGGGAGAUGGAACUCCUGGAAGGCCUAAGAUUUCUGUUCAACAAAUGACAAGAUUUUCCCUUAUAAUAUUUUUCCUUUCUGCUCCUUUUGUUGUUAAUGCCUCUACCUCUAACGUUUUCCUACAAUGGGCACACAGUUAUGCAGAUGGCUUACAACAAGGAGACCCUUGCUGGGUCUGUGGUUCGUUACCUGUCACUAACACCAUGGAGCUACCUUGGUGGGUCUCCUCGCUACAAGGGAAAGACUGGGUUUUUUUUACAAAGCUUUAUAGGGGAUCUUAAACAAAGGACAGGGGCACAGAUGACUGGGGUAACUAGAAAAAACAUUUCAGAAUGGCCUAUAAAUAAAACUUUAAAUGAGCCGGGGCAUGAUAAACCAUUUUCAGUAAAUGAGACAAGGGAUAAAGUAAUAGCCUUUGCCAUCCCCUUGUUGGAUACCAAGGUGUUUGUCCAGACUUCCAGACCUCAGAACACUCAAUAUAGAAAUGGGUUUCUCCAGAUAUGGGACGGGUUCAUUUGGCUGACAGCCACUAAGUGACACUUAAGCCAGAUAGCUCCCUUAUGCUGGGAGCAAAGAAAUCACUCCCUUGAUAACUGGCCAAACACAACUCGUGUUAUGGGAUGGAUUCCACCUGGACAGUGCCGACAUACUAUACUGUUAUAACAAAGGGACCUAUUUGCCACAGACUGGUCUCAGCGACCUGGCUUGAAUUGGUAUGCUCCCAACGGAACCCAGUGGCUCUGCAGCCCAAACUUAUGGCCUUGGCUUCCCUCAGGUUGGUUAGGACGCUGCACUCUAGGUAUUCCCUGGGCACAAGGACGCUGGGUAAAAACCAUGGAAGUCUAUCCUUGUCUUCCACAUGUGGUUAACCAAGGGACUAGGGCCAUUGUUCACAGGAAUGAUCACCUACCCACAAUCUUUAUGCCCUCAGUAGGUUUAGGAACUGUAAUACAGCACAUAGAGGCUCUAGCCAAUUUUACCCAACGGGCCCUAAAUGACAGCCUCCAAAGUAUUUCUCUCAUGAAUGCUGAAGUGUAUUAUAGGCACAAGGACAUCUUACAAAACCGAAUGGCCCUAGAUAUUUUAACUACGGCUGAAGGAGGAACCUGUGCCCUCAUCAAAACUGAAUGUUGUGUGUAUAUUCCCAAUAACUCUAGAAACAUUUCCUUGGCCUUAGAGGAUAUGUGUCGGCAAAUCCAAGCCAUCUCCAGCUCUGCACUGUCACUCCAUGACUGGAUAGCAUCUCAGUUUAGUGGAAGACCUUCCUGGUGGCAGAAAAUCCUCAUUGUCCUUGCCACCCUCUGGAGCGUAAGCAUAGCACUGUGUUGUGGACUGUAUUUUUGUCACAUGUUUUUCCAACACAUUCCCCAAACUCAUUCGAUUAUAUUUCAACAGAACUUCCCUUGAGCCCCCCAAGUCAGGAGCAUUACCAGAGCCAAAGAGACAUCUUCCACUCUAACGCCCCCCGACAACGACCCUAUUCAGCAGGAAGUAGCCAGAGAGACUACGUCGCCCAUUUCUCUUUAGUCUGCUAUGUUAUAGUUUACACUUUUGUACUAAUCUUUAAUGAAUUAAUGCUUAAAAAAAAGUAACUGACAUGAUAGGAAUCAUGCACAAAUUGUGGGGACUGUGGCAGGCCAGGUCUCCGUUAGCAACCAGAACAGUCAGUUUCCACUAACCCUCUACUGUAAUUCUGAUGAAUGUGUAAAUUAAACAUUAGUAGUUGGAGAAACUGGUGCCUUAAUACAAGGGCUGAAAUGUGAAGACAAACCCAUUAAGACCCCACCUGGGUUUUCUCAGACCUUAAACCCUGAUAAAAUAAUGAAGGCAUUUUUACACACACCUUGUACAAGGGCCCACUUAAGAUUAAGUAAUCUUUCCAAGGUUCUAAAGAAACUUUCCAGACCCCAGACCCUAGUUAAAGAUUAGAUUGAGUGAAACACUCCUAAUGGCAGGUGCACAUCCACAUGUAGGCAUAUAGCUUGAAUGUAUAUAAGGCCUGAAGAAAAACUUGUAAUUUUGAGUGGUCUGGUGAACUUUCCUGACCUUCUCCCUGUGGCUGGUUACAGAAGUAAACCCUCUUCUUUGCCAGUCUGUCCACAUCUCAUUAAUUAGACCAUGAGACCAAGCAGCCAGACCCGUUUUGUCCAGGUACAGGUAGAGCAGUCGGAACAUACACAUUUAUCAAUUAAGUUCACCAUCCUGUAUAGACAUGAUUCGUGGUGUCCCAAAACAAUUAUGAUAGUAACAUGAAAGAUCACUGAUUACAGAUCAUCAUAAUAGGUGUAACAAUAAUGAAAGCUUGGAAUAUUGCAGGAAGCACCAAAACAUGACAGAGACAGGAAGUGAGCACAUGCUGUCAGAAAAACGGUGCUGAAUACAGGUUGCCACAAACCUCCCUUUUUUUUUUUUUAAAUGCAGUGUCUGUGAAAUGCAAUAUAGCAAAGUGCAAUAAAAAAGGCAUGCCUGCAUAUAUCCUCUUCUUCAUAUGUAACAAGAUAAUAUAUAAACUUCACUGUCCCUUUUUUACUUACUGGCAGAGACUGCUGGUUAUUACCAGUAUCUAUUCUCUACUUCUUCCUUCAUAAUAAAGCCUCAGACUUACAGCAGAGUAUAUGGCUGCCCAGAAUAAAGAAUAUAUUUCAUAGUUUGUGUGGCAGGAACACUUGGUCCUGUGACUAAAUUCUGGCCAAUGAGAUGUAAACACCAGUACAAUGUGGCUGCUGGUACACGUUCUUUUCUUCUUUUUCUGUCAUCCUCAUGCCUGGGAUGCAGAUAUUAUUUCUGAAGUUCUAUUCCCUAUCUUUGCCUAUGAAGACAAGGGCCACAUCACAGGGAAGAUAGAGCACUGACCUAGGUGGGUCUCAGGCCCUCAAGAGCUUCAUGGAGCAGAGCUGCUACACUAACUCCCUACAACCGCAGUUAUAAACAAGACAGAAAUGACUCAUCAUCAAA